AUAUCUUGUAUUGAAAGAGGAGAGAUGAGCUUAGAUAUUCUAAUGAUUGAGAAGAAUUUCACUUUUUCAAAAUUAAUGAAAAAAGGAAUAUUGAUUGUUGAACCUGUUCGUUUGUCUGUAAAAAACGACGGCUAACUUAUUAUAUAUAGAACCAUCGGGGUUUCAUUGGUUCAUAAAAAUAAACAAAAAAUAAGUAAAAGAUCAAAAAAAAAAGCUAUAUUUAUUAAAAAAAAAAAAAAUAAAAUUUCUAU
Molecule: long non-coding RNA, 251 nt
Organism: Brassica rapa (field mustard)
Lineage: Eukaryota; Viridiplantae; Streptophyta; Magnoliopsida; Brassicales; Brassicaceae
Source: RefSeq, a predicted model, not a curated record